RNAcentral lists this ribosomal RNA (1331 nucleotides) under metagenome. RNAcentral describes it as "bacterial SSU rRNA". It matches the Rfam family "Bacterial small subunit ribosomal RNA", at positions 173 to 1498 of the family's 1533-position model. The record is from RNAcentral.
AUAUUCUGUGAGCAGGAAAGCAGGGGAUCGCAAGACCUUGCGCUGAUUGAGCGGCCGAUAUCAGAUUAGCUAGUUGGUGAGGUAAAGGCUCACCAAGGCGACGAUCUGUAGCGGGUCUGAGAGGAUGAUCCGCCACACUGGAACUGAGACACGGUCCAGACUCCUACGGGAGGCAGCAGUGGGGAAUUUUGGACAAUGGGGGCAACCCUGAUCCAGCCAUGCCGCGUGAGUGAAGAAGGCCUUCGGGUUGUAAAGCUCUUUCGGCCGGGAAGAAAUCGUAUGGGUUAAUACCCUGUGCGGAUGACGGUACCGGCAUAAGAAGCACCGGCUAACUACGUGCCAGCAGCCGCGGUAAUACGUAGGGUGCGAGCGUUAAUCGGAAUUACUGGGCGUAAAGCGUGCGCAGGCGGUUUUGUAAGACAGGCGUGAAAUCCCCGGGCUCAACCUGGGAACUGCGCUUGUGACUGCAAGGCUAGAGUACGGCAGAGGGGGGUGGAAUUCCACGUGUAGCAGUGAAAUGCGUAGAGAUGUGGAGGAACACCAAUGGCGAAGGCAGCCCCCUGGGUCGAUACUGACGCUCAUGCACGAAAGCGUGGGUAGCAAACAGGAUUAGAUACCCUGGUAGUCCACGCCCUAAACGAUGUCAACUAGGUGUUGGGUGGGUAAAACCAUUUAGUACCGGAGCUAACGCGUGAAGUUGACCGCCUGGGGAGUACGGCCGCAAGGUUAAAACUCAAAGGAAUUGACGGGGACCCGCACAAGCGGUGGAUGAUGUGGAUUAAUUCGAUGCAACGCGAAAAACCUUACCUACCCUUGACAUGUCCAGGAGCCUGAAGAGAUUUGGGUGUGCCCGAAAGGGAACUGGAACACAGGUGCUGCAUGGCUGUCGUCAGCUCGUGUCGUGAGAUGUUGGGUUAAGUCCCGCAACGAGCGCAACCCUUGUCGUUAAUUGCCAUCAUUUAGUUGGGCACUUUAACGAGACUGCCGGUGACAAACCGGAGGAAGGUGGGGAUGACGUCAAGUCCUCAUGGCCCUUAUGGGUAGGGCUUCACACGUCAUACAAUGGUCGGUACAAAGGGUCGCCAACCCGCGAGGGGGAGCCAAUCCCAGAAAGCCGAUCGUAGUCCGGAUCGUAGGCUGCAACUCGCCUGCGUGAAGUCGGAAUCGCUAGUAAUCGUGGAUCAGCAUGUCACGGUGAAUACGUUCCCGGGUCUUGUACACACCGCCCGUCACACCAUGGGAGCGGGUUCCGCCAGAAGUAGGUAGCCUAACCGCAAGGGGGGCGCUUACCACGGCGGGGUUCGUGACUGGGGUGAAGUCGAAACAAGGUA